AACGUGGGCAGUCGCAUUCGUGAGAGCGUCCACAGACACCGCCGUAACAGAUUAGCCCACUCUGCGAGAGGGGGAGAGGGGGAAUGAGGGGAAGAGGGGAAAAGAGAAACGGAGAUCACAGAUCACAGCGCGGGGACGAGAUAACGAGACGCGCGAGUGGCGUCGCUCUCUCGCUCUCUCUCUCUCUCUCUCUCCUUCUCUUUAAAUAGAGCCACGCAGGCCACGCAUCUUUCGCGUUGCGUCACACCUAUCACCUAUCGAGACUCGACGCGCGCGCGUCACUCGCGACCCGACCCGAUCGCGCCAGCUGACACGGGCCACUCGAGAGAUACUGAGAGAUACUAGCCAUCGUGGACCCGGAGGGUCUGGGUGUUAUCGAAGAAGAAGAAGAAGAAGAAGAGAGCCACUCAAGAGAAACCGCACUGACUUUGAGACAACGAAAGAACGCGUGGAAGUCGUCCCAGAUGUAGAUAGCUGAUAAGUAAAGGGGGGCUACAGCCCCACUGUGCGGUAGCAGACGAAGGCUUAACUGGGAGGGGGUUAGAUCUAAGGAUGACGUCGUAACCCAGAAGAGGUUCAUCAGAUCAGACGUGCGCGGGCUACCUUUACGGCGAGACACGGCCGACUAGCGUGGCCGGUGCCGGUCCAACGUGUCAAGCAACGGGGCAUGCCGCAAACACCCCUCCGGGACAGCUCGAGGAGGGAACGCAACGCGGUACUUGCACACAUCAUACGCGCGCGCGUGACACUCACCAGGAGUACUUGCCGCAGAUAGCGAACCCCGUCGUCGGGGUGCGCCGGCGCCGUCGCCGUCGCCGUCGCCGUCGCGGUGGAGCUCACCCCGAGUAGGACAUGCGGACGUUUCGGGUCAAGGUCGACGGCAGGUGGUCCUUCGGGACGUUUGGUAUCCAUUGUAUCCAUUGAGUCGCCUACGAGAGUCCUAAAACAGGCUUUAGAGGGCGAGAGGGGGUGAGAGGCAGGAAACAGCGGGGCUGAGCGGGACAUAAGACGUUGCGCCGGCGCCGCGGCGCCGCCGCGAUCUUAUUGCUAUAAUCGUAAGAUUACGCUAGCGAAUGCGGACUUACAGAUCGAGAGAAACGCUGUGGACCGGAACGUGUCCCCGACGGCAGCGGCCGCGAGAAGUCGCCGACGAAGACUCAAGUCGCGUUCCUGUCGCUCUUUCGGAUUUUGAGUGACUCUGACGUACGAUGCGCUUGACGUAGGAACAAGCUACGAUCAACUUUCGCUGACAACGUCAGUCGAGGGCCGAGGGGUGGUAUCAAUGCACUGAAAACGCGUUUACAACGUGGUGUAAUAGAGUAUACGGAAAAUAUUACGUACGAAUAAAAUGCCUAAUGAUGUAUGUA
Molecule: long non-coding RNA, 1367 nt
Organism: Temnothorax curvispinosus
Lineage: Eukaryota; Metazoa; Arthropoda; Insecta; Hymenoptera; Formicidae
Exons: 3
Source: RefSeq, a predicted model, not a curated record